AACGCUGGCGGCGUGCCUAAUACAUGCAAGUCGAACGCGAGCACUUGUGCUCGAGUGGCGAACGGGUGAGUAAUACAUAAGUAACCUGCCCUAGACAGGGGGAUAACUAUUGGAAACGAUAGCUAAGACCGCAUAGGUACGGACACUGCAUGGUGACCGUAUUAAAAGUGCCUCAAAGCACUGGUAGAGGAUGGACUUAUGGCGCAUUAGCUGGUUGGCGGGGUAACGGCCCACCAAGGCGACGAUGCGUAGCCGACCUGAGAGGGUGACCGGCCACACUGGGACUGAGACACGGCCCAGACUCCUACGGGAGGCAGCAGUAGGGAAUUUUCGGCAAUGGGGGAAACCCUGACCGAGCAACGCCGCGUGAAGGAAGAAGGUUUUCGGAUUGUAAACUUCUGUUAUAAAGGAAGAACGGCGGCUACAGGAAAUGGUAGCCGAGUGACGGUACUUUAUUAGAAAGCCACGGCUAACUACGUGCCAGCAGCCGCGGUAAUACGUAGGUGGCAAGCGUUAUCCGGAAUUAUUGGGCGUAAAGAGGGAGCAGGCGGCAGCAAGGGUCUGUGGUGAAAGCCUGAAGCUUAACUUCAGUAAGCCAUAGAAACCAGGCAGCUAGAGUGCAGGAGAGGAUCGUGGAAUUCCAUGUGUAGCGGUGAAAUGCGUAGAUAUAUGGAGGAACACCAGUGGCGAAGGCGACGAUCUGGCCUGCAACUGACGCUCAGUCCCGAAAGCGUGGGGAGCAAAUAGGAUUAGAUACCCUAGUAGUCCACGCCGUAAACGAUGAGUACUAAGUGUUGGAUGUCAAAG
Molecule: ribosomal RNA, 807 nt
Filed under: uncultured organism
Description: SSU rRNA
Rfam family: Bacterial small subunit ribosomal RNA
Source: RNAcentral